The submitters of this non-coding RNA (168 nucleotides) gave its source as unclassified sequences. The record is from Rfam.
UAGCGAAGCUGUUUAGAGUCUGUAGAAUUAUGCUUCGAUACACAGAAAUGCACCGGCAGGGACGCCGGGGCAAGGAGCUAUCGAGCCAUGGAGGGCGAGUAGCGACGGUUUCGUCAGCUGGAGAAAAUCUAUAAGCAUAAUUCGUACAGAAUCUUAACAGCGCAGCGU